This is a long non-coding RNA of Papilio machaon (common yellow swallowtail), 2244 nucleotides long. RefSeq lists it as uncharacterized. The record is from RefSeq and is a predicted model, not a curated record. Lineage: Eukaryota; Metazoa; Arthropoda; Insecta; Lepidoptera; Papilionidae. The transcript is spliced from 3 exons.
AGCGCACGCUCAUGCGGCGCGGCGCGGCGUGCGCGUCGUGCUGUGGGCACUGCGCAAGCGCAGUCGUCCUCCACGCGGCCCGGGUGCGCCUCGUGCCCCACGCGACUUCUCUUGUCACCGUACGAUAUGUGAAAAGCCAACAUUGUACCAAACAGUGAUCGCAUUGGAAUUGAAAUCUGACUCGAUACACAAUUGAUAAGAUUUAUACGACAGUGAGGUCAGUGAACGCAAAGGAUUGCCAGAUCUUGUGAUCUGGACUAUGUAUAGGCCGACUACCCCGCGGGAGGUGACGGUGGUAGAUGGCGCGCAACUAAUUAUAGCCUCCCCUCCAGCGAGAUGAUGGCACGCCGACGGGAGCGCGCACAUGUGGCGCCCGGCGCGGCGGCUACGAGCUCCCUGCCCAGAGCCCAUGGUUAUUUCCGAUACGGUCGCCAAGCGGCGCGGUGCGCGUUGCGCCUUACAUAAGAGACUCCAGCGCGCGGCACUGUGGCCGGCCCUUGCGCCACGCGUGCAGCCACGCCGCGAGCUGCAGGUCGCUGCACGUUCGGGAAACCGAUCCGACGGACGCCCGUCGUCCGGUCUAUUUUGGGAAAAUACAAAUUUGGAAUGGACGGCACUCGCGACUCGAAAGCGAACUCCGGCGGUUGAAUCCAUUUUUAGAGGUAGUGUGCGCGUGCGCAGCGAGCGCGCUGCCAGUGCCGUCCGAGCUGUUCGUCGGGUCACAGGCGCGCCGCGGCGCCGCGACCCUCUCACACGGACGGCCAUCGGGCCCGUGACGCGUGCGGCCCUCGCCGCGGCAGCGCUGCGUCAUAACUAAUGGCAACACCGACCGAGUGCAAGAACAAACAGUGCAACAUAAUGAAGAUAGAAAAUUGAGCCUUGCGCUAGUUCCGUGCUUCCUUACUUCCCAUAGUGCUAUUAUUCAUAUGGAAUGUAAAGAAGUAUGGAGCUGCGCCGGCGGACCCACCGCUGCGGAUCACUGCUACUUUCAUACGUGUCAUCCAACUAAUGGACCUGAUUUGUGUUUAAUAUUAUAAAGUGCUAUUCAAAUAAAAACAUACGUUACGUCAUCUGAAAGUAAUUCUUUCUCUGUUUUUGUGAUUUCUGAAUUAAUUUGAUAAACUGAAAUUGACAAUAAAACUGUUUACAAAGUUUUAUCGAUUCAACAAAAUAAACAAUACUUCCAAUUUCGUUGUCGACGUUGAGUUACAGUGUGCGGUUACAAAACGUUUAAAGUUGAAGUAAAAGCGGGAAUUGUUCGUCGGCUGCCGAGUUGUCGUAAAAUAACAUCUGGCGCAGAGUGGAGCUGGACAUGGCGGCGUGAUUGGGGCAAUGACAGCGCGCGCGCAUUACAAUGAGCGGCUCUCAGGACGUGAGAGGCGCGCCGCGGCGGGCGCCAUCGUCGACGUCUCGGACGCCGGGUCCGCUGUACGACGUCCGCCGUAUUCAAUAGCGCACAUCGUUCCGCGCUAUAAACCCGGGAUCGACCCGGCCCGAGCCCUUUAAUACUGCACGCAUUUAACUAGCGCACAAAGGAGCGCUCUAUGAGAAAGGGAUCUUGACCUACCAGUUCCUGCAUAAUGUUCGACUUAAAAAUAUCGCCUUUGAAAAACAAUUUAUUCAUGCAUCUCCGCAACGACUAUUUCUAACAAAAGAAUACGAAACUAGACAGGGGGAUAAUGAAAGCUAGUCAAAGCCAUUUUAAUAGAGUUACUUACGUGCAAUUCGGUUACGUAUUAUUUUUUUAAACACUGUAUGGGCGAAUGGUGUGAGUAUCCGAAGGGUUAAAAGACAAUAUUUUUUUUUUAGUAUUAUAAUAUAUGGUUUAAAAAUGUUGUUGGCCUGUGGAAAAUUAAUGUGUUGCAAUAAAAUAGAUUAUGAUUUGAUGUUUGAAUGAAGACAUAUAGCUCUGGAUUGGCCAGCGAUCGUGUUAUGACAUCACCUCGCGCCGGCCGGUGCUAAAAUAACCAGCGCAGGAAUCUUUGGCAGCGGUCCAGGGGCCGGCGUCGCCGACUCGCUUCUCUCACUUCUCUCGCCUUUUCUAUUCACGUGCAUUUUAAAUUUAAUAUCAACUCGUAUACAAUUUCAUUACGUGGAAAUGUAAUAUGAAUGUUUCUUUCAAAGUAGUUUUGUCAUAACGAAUGGCAUACAUUAAAUGUUUUUAAGCUACGUGUGCUGUAUGCAGUGCUGUAAAAAGAACAUAACUGAUACAUUUAGAGUCAAAAGUUAAAAACCGUACCGGUA